Ictalurus furcatus (blue catfish) is the source of this 514-nucleotide long non-coding RNA. RefSeq lists it as uncharacterized. Lineage: Eukaryota; Metazoa; Chordata; Actinopteri; Siluriformes; Ictaluridae. The record is from RefSeq and is a predicted model, not a curated record. The transcript is spliced from 3 exons.
GUGUAUACAGCUAUAUUAUAUGCACACUCAGCCAAAUGCUUCAAAACCCAUUGGACGGCAGGUGGACAAUGAUCCGAAGCAUACUGAAAGCAGUCCAAGUGUUUUAUAAGGAAAGCAAGUGGAAUGUUCAGGUCAAUCGUCUGACCUGAAUCCAACUGAUCUGCAUUUCACAUGCUGAAGGUAAGACUCAAGACAAAAGACCUCAAGAACAAGCAGGAAGUGAAGACAGCUGUAGUAGGCCUGGUAGAACAUCACUUGGCAGAUCAUCACCAGGGGGGGGGAUGCCCCAGCAACGUUUUGAAUUCUCUUCAAUGAUUUGGUACGGAUAUCCUGAUAACACCUGUACAGGCAGCUUGUUGAACACCUGGAAUAAAGAAGUGUGACAUCAUUCUUCAUAAAAACUGUUAGAACGCACCGAUUGGAUGUUGAGCUCAUUAUCUGGUUGCAGCAGCAGAAGCCUCUCAUCUAUUGCCCUCACUGAACACAGAGAACCCGGAGCAGCUUUCAGCAACAG